UUAAAUAAAAAUCGGUGUUGUUGCUGCCUUUCGUGGUGACGCGUCGGAAUUGAGUCUUCUUAUCCUUCGGCUAAGUGACUUAAAAUUUUAUGUGAUUUUCGAACGUAUUUAAAUUGCUUACGUACGUUUGAGAUAUCGAAUAUUUUAUUAGGUUCGGUCAUCCUUAUGACUCGCGCCUAUAAUUUUUUCAUU
This 192-nucleotide unclassified non-coding RNA is filed under the name uncultured Glomeraceae. Its description in RNAcentral is "sequence contains ITS2". Lineage: Eukaryota; Fungi; Glomeromycota; Glomeromycetes; Glomerales; Glomeraceae. The record is from RNAcentral.